This 497-nucleotide ribosomal RNA is filed under the name uncultured bacterium. RNAcentral's name for it is "partial 16S ribosomal RNA". It matches the Rfam family "Bacterial small subunit ribosomal RNA", at positions 28 to 507 of the family's 1533-position model. The record is from RNAcentral.
GAUGAACGCUGGCGGCGUGCCUAAUACAUGCAAGUCGAGCGAACAGACGAGGAGCUUGCUCCUCUGACGUUAGCGGCGGACGGGUGAGUAACACGUGGAUAACCUACCUAUAAGACUGGGAUAACUUCGGGAAACCGGAGCUAAUACCGGAUAAUAUAUUGAACCGCAUGGUUCAAUAGUGAAAGACGGUUUUGCUGUCACUUAUAGAUGGAUCCGCGCCGCAUUAGCUAGUUGGUAAGGUAACAGCUUACCAAGGCAACGAUGCGUAGCCGACCUGAGAGGGUGAUCGGCCACACUGGAACUGAGACACGGUCCAGACUCCUACGGGAGGCAGCAGUAGGGAAUCUUCCGCAAUGGGCGAAAGCCUGACGGAGCAACGCCGCGUGAGUGAUGAAGGUCUUCGGAUCGUAAAACUCUGUUAUUAGGGAAGAACAAAUGUGUAAGUAACUAUGCACGUCUUGACAGUACCUAAUCAGAAAGCCACGGCUAGCUACGUG